Myotis brandtii (Brandt's bat) is the source of this 1164-nucleotide long non-coding RNA. RefSeq lists it as uncharacterized. The record is from RefSeq and is a predicted model, not a curated record. Lineage: Eukaryota; Metazoa; Chordata; Mammalia; Chiroptera; Vespertilionidae. The transcript is spliced from 4 exons.
UUAAUAACGAGGAAAACAGAUCUCCGAAAGAUUAAGCAACUUGCUCAAAUCAUCCAACCAAGAUUCAAGCCCAUGCUUUCCCAGUGCCAAAGCCCGUGUUCUCCCUACCAUGUUAUGCUGGCACUGUGUCUUCAACUUUGAACUGGAAUCCACAUAAGCAGUGUCCAGCUGUAACCUGUGAAGAGGAUAUAAAAAUAUGAGAUGCUACUGCCAUUCUGAGGGCAUUCAUGUAUCAAACCCUGCCUUAGGGUAUGAACCACAUGGAUGUUGAGAACCAGGGCAGGGGUUGCACGUCGGCCAGCUUGCUUAGUUGGUCCAUCAGGAAUAUGAAGUUAAGUGCCUGUCCAUAUAGACAAUUAAUCCUUAGAGCACCCGGCUGGAUGGCUGAGUUCCACUGUGUUUGGUUUGAGUUUUUAUUUUUGGAACACAAAUAAGGUCGGAAAUUCUGAGGCAUUUUUAAAUAGUUCUGAGCCUGUGACACAUUACACUCAUCCCACCAAAUGAUAACUUGCAUCAGAAAUAUUGAGAUGUGGCCAGAGAAAGAAGAUUCCCGAAGAGAAGAAUAACUUAGACAAAGGAUGGGCUGCCAAUAGAGAGAGGAAAGGGAGGGGAUUAGACCUUUGGUGUCAUGAAAAGUAGGAAGAAGAGGCAAAUGGAGGUGAAGGUAUCAACUCUACUCAUGGCUGCCCAGUGGUUCCUAAAGUACAGUCUAGAGAUGUAAGUCUAGGAGUGCUCCAUGCACUGAGUGAAAUCUAAACCCCUCAGGACUAUAUACAAUAAGAAGAGAGGAAGCUAAGGAUGAAAUCCUGAGGAUUGUAGUUCUUAAAAGGAUCCUCAUGAAGACUGACAAGGAGCACAGAGUUGCAGGAAGUUAUGGUGUCAGAAAAUCCAAAGGAUUUGGGAGCAGCAUUUAGGAAAAGAAGGAGUGCCCGCCUGCCUCAAAUGCUGCCAAGAAAUCAGUGAAGGUGUGAGCCGCAACCACAAAUGCAUCCAUGGGAUUUUACAACAAAAGAAGUCUUAAAAAAAAAAAAACACCCACAAAACUUGCUGUUCUCCCAUCCCAACCUCCCUAGAGUCUAAUCACAUAGGACCAUCUACGUUUUGUUUUCCAGUGUACCUUCACAUCUGGCUCCCAUUGGGUAUAAAAAUAUGACACUGAAAGAU